Molecule: unclassified non-coding RNA, 378 nt
Filed under: plant metagenome
Description: partial contains 5.8S ribosomal RNA, internal transcribed spacer 2, and large subunit ribosomal RNA
Rfam family: 5.8S ribosomal RNA (bases 1-105)
Source: RNAcentral
GAAAUGCGAUAAGUAAUGUGAAUUGCAGAAUUCAGUGAAUCAUCGAAUCUUUGAACGCAUCUUGCGCUCCUUGGUAUUCCUUGGAGCAUGCCUGUUUGAGUAUCAUGAAAUCUUCACAGUAAAUCUUUUGUUAACUCAAUUGGUUUCUACUUUGGUAUUGGAGGUCUUUGCAGCUUCACACCUGCUCCUCUUUGUUCAUUAGCUGGAUCUCAGUGUUAUGCUUGGUUCCACGCGGCGUGAUAAGUUAUCUAUCGCUGAGGACACUGUAAAAGGUGGCCAAGGUAAAUGCAGAUGAACCGCUUCUAAUAGUCCAUUGACUUGGACAAUACUUUUAUGAUCUGAUCUCAAAUCAGGUAGGACUACCCGCUGAACUUAAGC